GAUGAACGCUGGCGGCGUGCCUAAUACAUGCAAGUCGAGCGAACGGACGAGAAGCUUGCUUCUCUGAUGUUAGCGGCGGACGGGUGAGUAACACGUGGAUAACCUACCUAUAAGACUGGGAUAACUUCGGGAAACCGGAGCUAAUACCGGAUAAUAUUUUGAACCGCAUGGUUCAAAAGUGAAAGACGGUCUUGCUGCCACUUAUAGAUGGAUCCGCGCUGCAUUAGCUAGUUGGUAAGGUAACGGCUUACCAAGGGAACGAUGCAUAGGCGACCGGAGAGGGUGAUCGCCCGCACUGGAACUGAGCCACGGUCCAGACUCCUACGGGAGGCAGCAGUAGGGAAUCUUCCGCAAUGGGCGAAAGCCUGACGGAGCAACGCCGCGUGAGUGAUGAAGGUCUUCGGAUCGUAAAACUCUGUUAUUAGGGAAGAACAUAUGUGUAAGUAACUGUGCACAUCUUGACGGUACCUAAUCAGAAAGCCACGGCUAACUACGUG
Molecule: ribosomal RNA, 497 nt
Filed under: uncultured bacterium
Lineage: Bacteria
Description: partial 16S ribosomal RNA
Rfam family: Bacterial small subunit ribosomal RNA
Source: RNAcentral